AUGUCGAGCGAGGUUGAUAGGCAAAUUGUUGCUCCAUCCUCCGCACCAAGCCCAUCAGUUUUGGACUGGGAACUCCAGGCGGCCGUCGACUCUAUGAAUACUAAAUCGGCCCCAGAGUACUUUCCGAAUUGCUGGAAAAUUGCAAAAGUCGUCAUUAUUGGCAAGCCAAACCAACCAUCAUACGAAUGUCUCAGUAGUUUCCGCCCAAUAAGCAUUCAUCCGAUCUUGGUCUAUUGCUUGGAAGAUAUUCCUGCUGCUCAAGCAAAUCGAUUUGAAUUUGGAAAAGGAUAUGAUGUAUCCUUUUUCCAAGAUAUCAGGGAAAAAUAUCAAGGAAGAAAGAACAACAAUCGAAGGAGAACUCAACAUCCAACCCUUGUUCAAGGCGUUCCAAGAUAUCCCACCCGCCCAGCACUUUGGUUGGAUUUCAAGAAGCACAAAGGGACCUGCAGCUCGAGGCGUACUUCUAUACAUGAUAUAAAAACAAAAACAGCUAUAGAAGAUGGCAUGGAUCAUUUUACACUGUCAGCAUCCAAAAACACAAAGGAGUGGUCUACUGAUGUUGGUGGGUAUGAAAACCUUGCCAAUGAAUUCAUGCAAACUCCUGAGUGCCAUGCUGCAGUAGAUACAUGGACUAGCAUUGUAAGAAAACACCAAUUGGCGAGAGAGAAAGAUCCAGAAUGGAUUGCCCACCACAAGGAAAGCGAGAUCCAACGCAAAAAAAACGCGUGGAAACAAUUUAUGGCAAAUCUUUAGGUCGUUCGACUUCAAUACGGACGGAGGCCGCAACUGCAAUUGCCAGUUAUCAAAAUAAUGGAUUCGAAAUGAUCAGAGACUUAGAUGGAGAUGUGGCCCGAUUUAGUACCCCUUCUCCUAACGAACAUGAUGUAUUGCUAGAAAGUCGUGAUCCUGGUCAUCAACAAGUAUUGCCUGAUGUUCAUGAAGGGAGUGAGCAGUCUGUUUCAAAUAUUACUACGCGACCGAUGGCAACUUGUGUAGCUAUCUAUGGGUGUGAUUCAUCGAGACCGAAUUUCAGUAGUCCAAGUGGUGAGCUAGUUGGACCAACUACCACCACAGUUCCAAAUGCUUCAGGAAGCGAUGGUUACGCUUCUGCUCGCGGCAAUGUUCCACGAAAUUAACCCGCUCUAAUGCUGAUACCUACUUUAUCAUCGACCUCGUCUGAUUCUACCCAAAUUCCUUCCGCUUCUGCCAAGCCUGGGAGAUGCCCUCCAAGUGGCCGUGGUAUCACUGGCAGCGCAAAAGGACGCAAUGGCUCGAAAAUCCUUGGUAGUUCUGCGGAGCGCCCAAUUGUGCACCCGUUAAGUGGUAUUAGUAGUAUAGGUACAGAAAAUAAUGCUAGCUCUCAGCAGGCAAGAAACAUGUUUAUUGUAGCCUACUGCUACCAGUCGACGUACUAGGCCCUGAAACCUAAUUCCAA
Daphnia magna is the source of this 1435-nucleotide RNA transcript. RefSeq lists it as uncharacterized. The record is from RefSeq and is a predicted model, not a curated record. The transcript has 8 exons. NCBI's taxonomy places the organism in Eukaryota, Metazoa, Arthropoda, Branchiopoda, Diplostraca, Daphniidae.